AUUGAACGCUGGCGGCAGGCCUAACACAUGCAAGUCGAACGAGUGGCGGACGGGUGAGUUAUGUAUGGGAAACUGCCUGAUGGAGGGGGAUAACUACUGGAAACGGUAGCCAAAACCGCAUACCAUCGGAUGUGCCCAGGUGGGAUUAGCUAGUGGGUGGGGUAAAGGCGCACCUAGGCGACGAUCCCGAGCUGGUCUGAGAGGAUGACCAGCCACACUGGAACUGAGACACGGUCCAGACUCCUACGGGAGGCAGCAGUGGGGAAUAUUGCACAAUGGGCGAAAGCCUGAUGCAGCCAUGCCGCGUGUGUGAAGAAGGCCUUCGGGUUGUAAAGUACUUUCAGCGGGGAGGCGUUACCAGCAGAAGAAGCACCGGCUAACUCCGUGCCAGCAGCCGCGGUAAUUC
RNAcentral lists this ribosomal RNA (406 nucleotides) under uncultured bacterium. RNAcentral describes it as "partial 16S ribosomal RNA". It matches the Rfam family "Bacterial small subunit ribosomal RNA", at positions 29 to 526 of the family's 1533-position model. The record is from RNAcentral.